This 245-nucleotide ribosomal RNA is filed under the name uncultured bacterium. RNAcentral's name for it is "partial 16S ribosomal RNA". It matches the Rfam family "Bacterial small subunit ribosomal RNA", at positions 524 to 768 of the family's 1533-position model. The record is from RNAcentral.
GACAGAGGGUGCAAGCGUUGUUCGGAAUUACUGGGCGUAAAGGGCGCGUAGGCGGUUGGGAAAGUUGAUUGUGAAAUCCCUCGUUUCAAGCGAGGAACUGCAGUCAAAACUACCCAGCUCGAGUCCCGGAGAGGAAAGUGGAAUUCCCGGUGUAGAGGUGAAAUUCGUAGAGAUCGGGAGGAACACCAGAGGCGAAAGCGGCUUUCUGGACGGUGACUGACGCUGAGGCGCGAAAGCGUGGGGAG